UACAGAGGGUGCGAGCGUUAAUCGGAACUACUGGGCGUAAAGCGUGCGUAGACGGUUUCGUAAGUCGGGUGUGAAAUCCCCGGGCUCAACCUGGGAAUUGCAUUCGAAACUGCGAGGCUAGGGUACGGAAGAGGGAAGCGGAAUUUCUGGUGUAGCGGUGAAAUGCGUAGAUAUCAGAAGGAACAUCAGUGGCGAAGGCGGCUUCCUGGUCCAGUACCGACGUUCAGGCACGAAAGCGUGGGGAGCAAACAGG
RNAcentral lists this ribosomal RNA (253 nucleotides) under uncultured bacterium. RNAcentral's name for it is "partial 16S ribosomal RNA". It matches the Rfam family "Bacterial small subunit ribosomal RNA", at positions 524 to 776 of the family's 1533-position model. The record is from RNAcentral.